RNAcentral lists this ribosomal RNA (253 nucleotides) under uncultured bacterium. RNAcentral describes it as "partial 16S ribosomal RNA". It matches the Rfam family "Bacterial small subunit ribosomal RNA", at positions 524 to 776 of the family's 1533-position model. The record is from RNAcentral.
UACGUAGGUGGCGAGCGUUGUCCGGAUUUACUGGGCGUAAAGAGCGCGCAGGCGGCUGGUCAAGUCCGAUGUGAAAGCUCCCGGCUUAACUGGGAAAUUGCAUCGGAAACUGAUCGACUCGAAGGCAGGAGAGGGAAGUGGAAUUCCCGGUGUAGUGGUGAAAUGCGUAGAGAUCCGGAGGAACCCCAGAGGCGAAGGCGGCGUCCUGGCUCGCAUCUGACGCUCAGACACGACAGCAUGGGGGGCGAACGGG